RNAcentral lists this ribosomal RNA (273 nucleotides) under unidentified marine bacterioplankton. RNAcentral's name for it is "partial 16S ribosomal RNA". It matches the Rfam family "Bacterial small subunit ribosomal RNA", at positions 82 to 339 of the family's 1533-position model. The record is from RNAcentral.
AGAAGAUAGUAAAGUGGCGAACGGGUGAGUAACGCGUGGGUAAUCUACCUUCGAAUCGGGGAUAACGUUGCGAAAGCGAUGCUAAUACCGGAUAAUAUUCUUUGGACUUUGGUCCUUUGAAUCAAGGGUGGCCUCUUCAUGAAAGCUACUGUUUGAAGAUGAGCCCGCGUACCAUUAGCUUGUUGGUGGGGUAAUGGCCUACCAAGGCUUCGAUGGUUAGCUGGUCUGAGAGGAUGAUCAGCCACACUGGAACUGACACACGGUCCAGACUCC